AGAGAGAGACAUGCGCGCAUAUCAAUAAGCGGAGGAAAAGAAACUAACAAGGAUUCCCUUAGUAACGGCGAGUGAAGCGGGAAGAGCUCAAAUUUGAAAUCUUCAAGGUCUUACCUUGACGAAUUGUAGUUUAAAGAAGUGUUUUCUGCUGAAGUUUUGGUAAAAGUUCUUUGGAAUAGGACAUCAUAGAGGGUGAGAAUCCCGUAUUUGACCAUUAUUUUCAGCUUUGUGAUACACUUUCAAAGAGUCGGAUUGUUUGGGAAUGCAGUCCAAAAUGGGUGGUAAAUUUCAUCUAAAGCUAAAUAUUGGCGAGAGACCGAUAGCGAACAAGUACCGUGAGGGAAAGAUGAAAAGAACUUUGAAAAGAGAGUUAAACAGUACGUGAAAUUGUCAAAAGGGAAGCGUUUGACACCAGUGUUGUUUUCUCGAAAAUCAAUUAAAAAUGGCUCGAUUUUGUAUUGCUGAGACCUUAAAAGCUCACUGUACAUUUUUCGUGUCUUUUUUAAUGCACUUUUCGUUUAACAAGUCAACAUCAGUUUCUUUUGUUGUAAAAGGGUCAUUGGAAGGUGGCUUUCUUUUCGGAGAAAGUGUUUAUAGCCUUUGGCCUCUGCAAUCGGAAGAGACUGAGGUCUGCAGCGUAGACUCUUCGGGGUUAGAUACAUUUGUGCUAAGUUAUAGCUCUUUUAUAGACAACUUGUUGACUAUAAUUAGUCUUGUAGCUUACUCGCUUAUGCUAUUUUACCUACGCUUAGGAUGUUGAAGAUGUAGCACAUCAU
This 776-nucleotide ribosomal RNA is filed under the name uncultured Neocallimastigales. RNAcentral describes it as "partial large subunit ribosomal RNA". It matches the Rfam family "Eukaryotic large subunit ribosomal RNA", at positions 23 to 634 of the family's 3401-position model. The record is from RNAcentral. Lineage: Eukaryota; Fungi; Neocallimastigomycota; Neocallimastigomycetes; Neocallimastigales.